This 324-nucleotide ribosomal RNA is filed under the name uncultured eukaryote. RNAcentral's name for it is "partial 18S ribosomal RNA". It matches the Rfam family "Eukaryotic small subunit ribosomal RNA", at positions 1470 to 1796 of the family's 1831-position model. The record is from RNAcentral.
CCCUUAGAUGUUCUGGGCUGCACGCGCGCUACACUGAAGCUAUCAACACGUUUUCCCUCCCUGAGAAGGGCGGGUAACCUUUUGAAUCAGCUUCGUGGUAGGGAUCGGGGCUUGCAAUUGUUCCCCGUGAACCAGGAAUUCCCAGUAGACGCGAGUCAUAAGCUCGCAUCGAUUAAGUCCCUGCCCUUUGUACACACCGCCCGUCGCUACUACCGAUUGAACGUUUUAGUGAGGCAUUUGGACCGACGCAUCUCAGUUUAACCGCUGGUUUGUGUUGGAAGGACUUCCAAACUUGAGCGUUUAGAGGAAGUAAAAGUCGUAACA